Molecule: long non-coding RNA, 1010 nt
Filed under: Ovis aries (sheep)
Lineage: Eukaryota; Metazoa; Chordata; Mammalia; Artiodactyla; Bovidae
Description: lncRNA (ENSOARG00000026238.1)
Source: RNAcentral
GAACUAGAAUUCAAGAGUCCUAAGAUCUUUCAUUACUUGAUCAGUCAUAAAGGAAUAAAUUCUAAUAAACUGUAAUAAAUUAAAAUUGUUAUUGCCAUCUCAACAGUGUAUACCUAACAUGAUGAAAAGGGAAAAUAAUUAAUAAAAAUUUAAUAAAACAAUAAAAUUGAUUUAGCUAAAGAAACCAGAAAAGUAGAGAAAAAUAUCAUAGACUAUAACAUAAGUGAGAUAAAUAUAUGGUAAAUAAUAAGUGGUAGAAAAAGCCUCUUGAUAACAGUGAAAGAGGAGAGUGAAGAAGUUGGCUUAAAGCUCAACAUUCAGAAAACGAAGAUCAUGGCAUCUGGUCCCAUCACUUCAUGGCAAAUAGGUGGGGGAACAGUGGAAACCCUGGCUGACUUUACUUUUCUGGGUUUCAAAAUCACUGCAGAUGGUGAUUGCAGCCAUGAAAUUAAAAGACACUUACUCCUUGGAAGGAAAGUUAUGACCAACCUAGAUAGCAUAUUCAAAAGCAGAGACAUUACUUUGCCAACAAAGGUCCAUCUAGUCAAGGCUAUGGUUUUUCCAGUGUAGUUAUGUAUGGAUGUGAGAGUUGGACUCUAAAGAAAGCUGAGUGCUAAAGCAUUGAUGCCUUUGAACUGUGGUGUUGGAGAAGACUCUUGAGAGUCCCUUGGACUGCAAGGAGGUCCAACCAGUCCAUCCUAAAGGAGAUUAUCCUGGGUGUUAAUUGGAAGGACUGAUGAAGCUGAAAUUCCAAUACUUUGGCCACUCAAUGCAAAGAGUUGACUCAUUUGAACAGCCCCUGAUUCAGGGAAAGACUGAGGACAGGAGGAGAAGGGAACAACAGAGGAUAAAAUGGUUGGAUGGCAUCACCGACUCAACGGACAUGAGUUUGGUUUGGCUCUAGGAGUUGGUUAUGGACAGGGAAGCCUGAAGUGCUGCAGUUCAUGGGGUCACAAAGAGUUGGAAAUGGCUGAGCAACUGGACUGAACUGAACCGAACUACUAAAUUAC